CGCCAGCAGCGCAUCCGCACCCGGCUGCCCCUGGCCGAUGGCCCGCACGUCGAGGGUUUCGCCCACGUCGCAAGCAGAGUGGAGACAGCUUUCCUAACCUCCUUCGUUCAAAACCCACAGCCCACAUUUACCUUUCCCGAUCUCCCUGAACGGCAUCCUCUCCUCUCCAUGCCUUAGUGCAUUGUGCCGCAGCCUCGCCCGCACAGCCACCGUGCUCGCCGUCGCGCGAUGGAGCUUGGUUGGUCGCUGUCGUUCCGUGCCGAGGUGAGAACUCCAGUCUACCUUUUUUUCCCGUCCCUCUCUCCGUCCCCGUUGGUCGAGCGACCCCCUGGCCAACCCAGCCAGUCCCAGCGUCCAGUGCCCCGGCGAGCUCCACUCCCGGCUAACCAUGGCGCUCCCUGCCCAGCCCUUCCCUUGCCGAGCGAGCCACUGCAGUCGUGCCUCCCUGCAUGUCCUGUGUGUGCGGGCCGCCGCCGUUCUAAGCCGCACGCACGAGCCAGCUCCGGCAAGCCUUUCUUCCUCUCCCUUGACCGCGCUACCCUGGCCAGCUCCCCAGCGACAACCAGUCGAGUCCCCUGCGCAUGGCCAGCGUGGCCCAUCCCCAACCUUCGGCCAUCGCCCAAGUGCUCCCUGCGCAUGCGUCCGUCAAAAACAGCAGAGAGGAAAUCGCCUAGCCCCCACUUGCAUGCCGUUUUUCCAUGAUUCUUGUGAUUGAAGAAACCGCAUGAGAGCCCCACUCACAUACACAUGCACGCAUGUCACCAGCCACCACACUAGAGAAAUAAAAACCGUCUUAUCCUCCCUCGCAGAAAUCUCGUGGCCGCAUGCAAGCAUAAAAGGAGAAGAUUUGUGGUCCCACCUGCAUGUGCCAAAAAAAAACAAACUCUGUGACCCUUUGUAUUGCUCUUUUUUAAUAAAAUCGUGCCAUGUGGCUUAUAUUCCACAAGUUAUUUAACUUUGUCUUAAACUUGCUUCGAACCCGUAUCAGUUAUGUUAACUUUGCAAUAACGUCGCGUACGUGUAGUAACAUAGUUUGUCGUGACACGUCUUUUAAUUUAUUAAUUAGAUAAAUAGUAAUUAAAACUAAUUUAUAGUUUUAAUUUGUGUUUUUAUAAAAACAUGUUAAUGUGAUUUUGUACACUCUAUUGUUUAGAAUUAAUACUUGUUUAGUAUAAACCUCAUAUCUGUUAGUGAUUUCCGUAUGUCACACGUGUCGCGCAAUGUCGUGCGCGUUGUUUCACACGUCGUGGUGCUGUUUCACACGUGUCGUUCGCACUCGUUGUCGCGCGCUGUUCGCGUGUGUCACGCACCUUGCCGCGCGUAUCGCACCCUGUUCGCGUACGAUAUUAAAUUGUUCGCUUAUAAUCACUCAUGUCAAUUAAUUAGGUAUUUAUUUAAUCAUCCAAGUUUAAAAUAGUGAGUUAAUCAAAACUAAGUAGUUUUAUUUUAUAUUUCAUAAAUAGCAAUUAAUAUAGUUACAUCGAAUUAAAUAUUCUAACUAAUAUAGUUUUAAUUUAGCUCUCCCCGGGCAGAAAGGGAAUCAUGACUCAUGGGUAAAGUGUGCGACCUCUGCAGAGGGUAGUGAAACUGAUAUAUCAGCCGUGCUCACGGUUAUGAGCGGCCUUGGGAUCCUCUUUGAUUAGAGAUACAGAUGGUUCGAGAUACAAUGAUUCUUUUUAUUAUUUCGGUUCGAUCAUGAUAAUGAGGUUUCCUCGAUGAGGAAAUGGUUCACGGGUUGGUUAUAUGAUAAAACUUGGCUUCCACUAAUAAUAAAUACCUGACCAACUAAAAGCAAUCUGCUUUGACCUUCACCCCACAUAAAGCUAGUCCACUUCAGCCAAACAGGACAUUUGCUGAGUACGUUGAUGUGUACUCACCCUUGCUUUCACAAAACACCAGGUUGCCUUUGGUGCAAUCUAUGCUCAAGUAAAGAAGAAGGCGUCGAGGCGGAUCUCCAGGAGUUCCAGGACUUCGACGAGUUCGAGGAUUAGGCUAGCGAUCACCCCCAGUCAGCUGCCUGUGGUGGGUUUAUUUACGUUGGCUACGUUUCUAUUCUGUGUACUUUGAUUAUAUUAUGUAAAUGACUCUAGUCUUUAUAUUAUUACUUACUCUUUAUUGUUAUUCAAAGCAUUGUGCUAUGAUGAGUCAUUUAUGUAAUCGCCGUGUACGUGAAUUUCUGAUCCUGGCACGUACAUGGUUCGCAUUCGGUUUACCUUCCAAAACCGGGUGUGACAGGAACCAAGGGGCAUCUCGACCUCGACACGAGAGGUAAAUCCAUAGAUCAAAAGGUAUACCAGUCGAUGAUAG
This 2307-nucleotide long non-coding RNA is filed under the name Zea mays. Its description in RNAcentral is "long non-coding RNA (ZMAY_LNC004427)". Lineage: Eukaryota; Viridiplantae; Streptophyta; Magnoliopsida; Poales; Poaceae. The record is from RNAcentral.